Molecule: ribosomal RNA, 774 nt
Filed under: uncultured Neocallimastigales
Lineage: Eukaryota; Fungi; Neocallimastigomycota; Neocallimastigomycetes; Neocallimastigales
Description: partial large subunit ribosomal RNA
Rfam family: Eukaryotic large subunit ribosomal RNA
Source: RNAcentral
UACUAGAGUAGCACUCGCAUAUCAAUAAGCGGAGGAAAAGAAACUAACAAGGAUUCCCCUAGUAACGGCGAGUGAAGCGGGAAGAGCUCAAAUUUGAAAUCUUAAAGGGUUUCCCUUUACGAAUUGUAGUUUAAAGAAGUGUUUUCUGUUGAGGUUUUGGUAAAAGUUCUUUGGAAUAGGACAUCAUAGAGGGUGAGAAUCCCGUAUUUGACCUUUACUUUCAACUUUGUGAUACACUUUCAAAGAGUCGGAUUGUUUGGGAAUGCAGUCCAAAAUGGGUGGUAAAUUUCAUCUAAAGCUAAAUAUUGGCGAGAGACCGAUAGCGAACAAGUACCGUGAGGGAAAGAUGAAAAGAACUUUGAAAAGAGAGUUAAACAGUACGUGAAAUUGUCAAAAGGGAAGCGUUUGACACCAGUGUUGUUUUUCUGAAAAUCAAUUAAAGAACUGUUUAUGCUAAGCUGUUUAGACUUUAUCAGCUAUCUGUUUAGUUUUGAGCUUUUCUUUAAUGCACUUUUCAGUCAACAAGUCAACAUCAAUUUCUUUUGCUGUAAAAAAGCUUGAGGAAGGUGGCUUGAGAUUCGUCUUAAGUGUUUAUAGCCUCUUGCCUAUGCAGUCGGAGAGAUUGAGGUCUGCAGCGUAGAUCCUUCGGGGCUAAAUGCAUUUGUGCUAAGUUAUAGCAUUUUAUAGACGACUUGUUGACUAUGAUUUGUCUUGUAGCUUACUCGCUUAUGUUAUUUUACCUACGCUUAGGAUGUUGAACUACUGAGACAUAGA